RNAcentral lists this ribosomal RNA (169 nucleotides) under uncultured bacterium. RNAcentral describes it as "partial 16S ribosomal RNA". It matches the Rfam family "Bacterial small subunit ribosomal RNA", at positions 338 to 524 of the family's 1533-position model. The record is from RNAcentral.
CCUACGGGAGGCAGCAGUUAGGAAUAUUCCACAAUGGGGGCAACCCUGAUGGAGCAACGCCGCGUGGAGGAUGAAGGCCUUAGGGUCGUAAACUUCUUUUCUAUGCGAAGAAUAUGACGGUAACAUAGGAAUAAGGGUCUGCUAACUACGUGCCAGCAGCCGCGGUAAU